This 253-nucleotide ribosomal RNA is filed under the name uncultured bacterium. RNAcentral's name for it is "partial 16S ribosomal RNA". It matches the Rfam family "Bacterial small subunit ribosomal RNA", at positions 524 to 776 of the family's 1533-position model. The record is from RNAcentral.
GACGAGGGGUCCUAGCGUUGUUCGGAAUCACUGGGCGUAAAGCGCACGUAGGCGGAUCUUUAAGUCAGGGGUGAAAUCCCGGAGCUCAACUCCGGAACUGCCUUUGAUACUGGAGAUCUUGAGUCCGGGAGAGGUGAGUGGAACUGCGAGUGUAGAGGUGAAAUUCGUAGAUAUUCGCAAGAACACCAGUGGCGAAGGCGGCUCACUGGCCCGGUACUGACGCUGAGGUGCGAAAGCGUGGGGAGCAAACAGG